Molecule: ribosomal RNA, 825 nt
Filed under: Rhodanobacter sp. 2AS1
Lineage: Bacteria; Pseudomonadati; Pseudomonadota; Gammaproteobacteria; Lysobacterales; Rhodanobacteraceae
Description: bacterial SSU rRNA
Rfam family: Bacterial small subunit ribosomal RNA
Source: RNAcentral
CUGUGGGUGGCGAGUGGCGGACGGGUGAGUAAUGCAUCGGGAUCUACCCUGACGUGGGGGAUAACCUCGGGAAACCGGGACUAAUACCGCAUACGUCCUACGGGAGAAAGCGGGGGACCUUCGGGCCUCGCGCGGCAGGACGAACCGAUGUGCGAUUAGCUAGUUGGCGGGGUAAUGGCCCACCAAGGCGACGAUCGCUAGCUGGUCUGAGAGGAUGAUCAGCCACACUGGGACUGAGACACGGCCCAGACUCCUACGGGAGGCAGCAGUGGGGAAUAUUGGACAAUGGGCGCAAGCCUGAUCCAGCAAUGCCGCGUGUGUGAAGAAGGCCUUCGGGUUGUAAAGCACUUUUAUCAGGAGCGAAAUACCACGGGUUAAUACCCUAUGGGGCUGACGGUACCUGAGGAAUAAGCACCGGCUAACUUCGUGCCAGCAGCCGCGGUAAUACGAAGGGUGCAAGCGUUAAUCGGAAUUACUGGGCGUAAAGGGUGCGUAGGCGGUUACUUAAGUCUGUCGUGAAAUCCCCGGGCUCAACCUGGGAAUGGCGAUGGAUACUGGGUGGCUAGAGUGUGUCAGAGGAUGGUGGAAUUCCCGGUGUAGCGGUGAAAUGCGUAGAGAUCGGGAGGAACAUCAGUGGCGAAGGCGGCCAUCUGGGACAACACUGACGCUGAAGCACGAAAGCGUGGGGAGCAAACAGGAUUAGAUACCCUGGUAGUCCACGCCCUAAACGAUGCGAACUGGAUGUUGGUCUCAACUCGGAGAUCAGUGUCGAAGCUAACGCGUUAAGUUCGCCGCCUGGGGAGUACGGUCGCAAGACUGAAACUC